RNAcentral lists this ribosomal RNA (783 nucleotides) under Triticum aestivum (bread wheat). RNAcentral describes it as "partial small subunit ribosomal RNA". The record is from RNAcentral. Lineage: Eukaryota; Viridiplantae; Streptophyta; Magnoliopsida; Poales; Poaceae.
AUGGGGACCGACCCCAUGGAGACUGGAGACAGGGGCCAUGUCCAAUUUGGCCCCCAACCAAAUGUCAUUUUGGAGACCCACACGGCUCCGGAGUCAGAUGAGCAGCCUCCUUCAAAAGAAGGGGGCGCGCCCACUCCACCGGCGACCUCUGUCAAUCUGCAGGCGCCGGACACUUUGGUGGGAGCGCUUCAGAGCGUCGUCAUUGUGGAAGAACAUCGUACCCAUACGGUGGUUGAAAAGGUUCGGUCCGCUAAAAGUGGAUUGAAUGAGGCCUACACUAGCCUUCUGAGAGUCUUUGAGGUUGCGAUGCAGGCGUCAGCUAACCAUGCCGCCGAGGCGUUCGAGCUGAGGCAGAAGUUAGAGGCAAAGCAAGCUGACGCAUCUGAGGUCGAGACCCUCAAGAGCGUGCUGGCCGAAGCCAAGAAGGAGGCGAAGGAGGAACGAGCCGCCCGCCUGAAACAUGAAUCAAGGGUGGAGGAAGUCCAGCAAGAGCUCAAGGAUGCUAUAAGCAAAUGUGAGCCCUUAGAGCACAAGAUUUCAGAUCAAAAUUCCGAACUUGCUAAGGCCCUCCAAAGUACACAGGAGGCCCGAGUUGAAGCCCAAGGCGCCCUCCGCGAGAUCCAAGAGGCAAAGCAGAUCGCGUCUGGAGCGUUUGCGGAUCUGCCCUGGAGUGUUGCUGAUGCUGCGGAGUUCUUCCGAGCCGAAGAAGGAGCUCCACUGAGAAGCUGUGCUGGUCGUAGUACCUUGCGCCAGAGCAUCCAGUGCCCCUCAGCGAUCAGUUGA